GUGGAUGUAGCUCAGUUGGUAGAGCCCAGGAUUGUGGCUCCUGUGGUCGUGGGUUCAAGUCCCAUCAUCCACCCCA
RNAcentral lists this transfer RNA (76 nucleotides) under Gammaproteobacteria bacterium. RNAcentral describes it as "tRNA-His". It matches the Rfam family "tRNA". Rfam says of the family: Transfer RNA (tRNA) molecules are approximately 80 nucleotides in length. Lineage: Bacteria; Pseudomonadati; Pseudomonadota; Gammaproteobacteria. The record is from RNAcentral.